Molecule: ribosomal RNA, 798 nt
Filed under: Chryseobacterium sp. T6
Lineage: Bacteria; Pseudomonadati; Bacteroidota; Flavobacteriia; Flavobacteriales; Weeksellaceae
Description: bacterial SSU rRNA
Rfam family: Bacterial small subunit ribosomal RNA
Source: RNAcentral
ACACAUGCAAGCUGAGCGGUAGAGAUCUUUCGGGAUCUUGAGAGCGGCGUACGGGUGCGGAACACGUGUGCAACCUGCCUUUAUCAGGGGGAUAGCCUUUCGAAAGGAAGAUUAAUACCCCAUAAUAUUUAGAGUGGCAUCACAUUAAAUUGAAAACUGAGGUGGAUAAAGAUGGGCACGCGCAAGAUUAGAUAGUUGGUGAGGUAACGGCUCACCAAGUCGAUGAUCUUUAGGGGGCCUGAGAGGGUGAUCCCCCACACUGGUACUGAGACACGGACCAGACUCCUACGGGAGGCAGCAGUGAGGAAUAUUGGACAAUGGGUUAGCGCCUGAUCCAGCCAUCCCGCGUGAAGGACGACGGCCCUAUGGGUUGUAAACUUCUUUUGUACAGGGAUAAACCUAUCUACGUGUAGAUAGCUGAAGGUACUGUACGAAUAAGCACCGGCUAACUCCGUGCCAGCAGCCGCGGUAAUACGGAGGGUGCAAGCGUUAUCCGGAUUUAUUGGGUUUAAAGGGUCCGUAGGCGGAUGUGUAAGUCAGUGGUGAAAUCUCACAGCUUAACUGUGAAACUGCCAUUGAUACUGCAUGUCUUGAGUAAGGUAGAAGUGGCUGGAAUAAGUAGUGUAGCGGUGAAAUGCAUAGAUAUUACUUAGAACACCAUUGCGAAGGCAGGUCACUAUGUUUUAACUGACGCUGAUGGACGAAAGCGUGGGGAGCGAACAGGAUUAGAUACCCUGGUAGUCCACGCUGUAAACGAUGCUUACUCGUUUUUGGGGAUUUAUCUUCAGAGACUAAGCG